Molecule: transfer RNA, 56 nt
Filed under: Prototheca zopfii
Lineage: Eukaryota; Viridiplantae; Chlorophyta; Trebouxiophyceae; Chlorellales; Chlorellaceae
Description: tRNA-Ile
Rfam family: tRNA
About the family: Transfer RNA (tRNA) molecules are approximately 80 nucleotides in length.
Source: RNAcentral
UUAGCUCAGUUGGUUAGAGUAUGCUCCUGAUAAGGGUAUGGCCGUUGGUUCAAAUC